AGAAAAUUGAAAAGAAUGGAAAAGAUGUGGUCAACACUUAUUCAUUUCACAUUAACUAAUUAACAAGUCCAUCAUGAUACGCAACUCUAGAAUUUAUUAAAUAUGGAUAGCUAUUGAAAAUUAAUAUGAGUGAGGUUGGAUUUGUUAGAAAAUUUAGUUGGCGCUUUAAAGGCAUCUAUGGCUUUUCUUGUGUUUGUAUUUGUUCUAUAUGUAUAGCUUUAUCAAGAAACACACACAAACACACAGUGUCAAUGGCUAUUUACACCUUUCAUACAUUGACCANNNNNNNNNNNNCNUNCAUUGACCAUAAUGAAUUACCUCCCUCUACCAGCCCCUUUAAUUUCCCUGCACAGCAUGCACUUAUUAGUUUUAAUUGCAAAUAUUUACUCCAAUUUUCCAUUUUGAGCAAACUAUCUUGGGAUUUUCUCCAACCAUUAAUACAUUUCCCUGCCCCUCAAUUUACUCCUCUCUCUUCUUUCUACCCUUCCUCUUUCAAUUCAUUCAAUUGAUUUCCUAUUAACUCUCUCUCUCUCUCUCUUCCAACUCGUCCGUCUUAUAAUUUAAUUAAGCUUUUAAAGCAAUCCCAUCUCUCCGCUCUAUAGUUCCCAUUAUAUAAUAUGUCUUUACAAGUCCAAGAUCAUCAACUAGGACCACAACAACUUCCACUUGUUCAUCUUAGUAGUUUAGCCGUGCUGCAGGUGGUUCCGGUUACUUCCCUUGGUGCCUCGCCGAUCACCGCUGUAACCUUCCGGCUACCGCCGUCCCUUUCUUCCAUCACAACCACCCUUACUCCACCUUUGAAUUAGAAGAGCUAGCCCUCAUCACUUCCUUUAGGGUGGCGAAAGAUUUCUCAAUCUUAAGGUAAUACAAGUUCUU
RNAcentral lists this long non-coding RNA (876 nucleotides) under Nicotiana tabacum (common tobacco). RNAcentral's name for it is "long non-coding RNA (NTAB_LNC005110)". Lineage: Eukaryota; Viridiplantae; Streptophyta; Magnoliopsida; Solanales; Solanaceae. The record is from RNAcentral.